This is an RNA transcript of Talpa occidentalis (Iberian mole), 2536 nucleotides long. It is a transcript of the gene named FKBP prolyl isomerase 3, with no coding region annotated. The record is from RefSeq and is a predicted model, not a curated record. The transcript has 2 exons. Lineage: Eukaryota; Metazoa; Chordata; Mammalia; Eulipotyphla; Talpidae.
AAGAGUGGUUGGCAGCAACUCUUUCUUGGCUGUCACGUUUUUCCAGAAGUAGUUGGCACCUCUGAUUUACUUGAAAGAGGUCUUCAGUUCACUACUUAUUGACUGGGCAAAUGAAGAUCUCUUGGUCAUUGGGAUGCAAAAAGUAAAGCUUAGUCUAAACUUGUUUGGUUAAUGCCUCAAAGUAUUUAAUGAGAAAGGCAGAACAGUGAGCUAUUUUCUUGGUCCUUUUCCUCUCCACUGUUUAGGUCAUAAUUGUUUUUACAUCCAGAAUUUUCUUGAAAAUUUGCCCAGCUUUCUGAAUUUGUUUCUUUUCAUAUGCACAUCAUAUGGUAAAACCUGAAAACAAUUUAAAUAUUUAAAACACUUUCUCCAUUUCAACUUAAUGUCAUCAUUAAUUAUAAGGAAAAUCUGUUUUACAGGUUCAAAGAAGAAGAAAAGUGCCAAGCCUUUAAGUUUUAAGGUUGGAAUAGGCAAAGUUAUCAGAGGAGUAAGUAGAGAACGGCAAUACAUCAAUAGACUUUCUGGCACAUGCUACAUAUGGUAUGGUGCCAUAAUUAGGAUUGGGGAUAUUAUGGAAAAAAAAAAAAAAUCUUUGGAGUCUUGACAAAUAAGAUGCUAUCAUUGCUUCCUGAUCUGUGGGAUGAAGCACUCUUGACUAUGAGUAAAGGAGAAAAGGCUCGACUGGAAAUUGAACCAGAAUGGGCUUAUGGAAAGAAAGGACAACCCGAUGCCAAGUAUCCUUUUUUCCUUCAUAAUUUAACACUAAGAAAAAUCAUCUGAAGCUAUGAAAGACACUGUCUAGGGUAACCACCAAAUCAGUAAUUAAUUCUGUCCUGACCAGUCUUCGAAAUAUUUAGAUGCUUUUGUGACAAUUCCUCCAAUAUAGACACUUUCUAUUGGCACAAAGUAUUCAGACUUGAGCUGGAAUCUACUUAUUUUCAAAUUCUUAUCCAAGCUCUUAAUUUUCAAGACUUAAACUAUAUUGUUUCAUAUUUGAAAUUUUAUAAUAUUUGAAGUGUACUAUAAAGAAUGUAACAUGCCUAAAUGUAAAUAAUUGUAGCAAAUUAUAGGAUGCAAUUAUGGCUUCUGGUAAUUUUGUGCUAUAGUGUAACUUUAGGCAACUAGAUACCAAAUGAGUUGUGAAAUAAACACCACAGAUCCAACAUAGUAUAGCGUUUGUAAUUAUGCCUAGUGACAAUACUUAUAGUGAGAACGUAGUUUUGUUGGUUCAUUCCCAUUGAACUAGCUGGACCAAUUAGAAUAUAGAUUUUUUUAAAAACUGGUAAUCUCCCUCUAGUCUUUAUCUUGGGAAUAUAAUACACCCUUUUAACCUAUGAAAAUUACAUGGGCAACUAUAGCUCCCUCUCGUGAAGCAUCUCAAGACAAAUCAGAUAAAACCACUCUUCUCUAAACUCAACAUCUUAAAAGGCACAGCAAGUAUACACUACUUCAUAUGAAAUUUACUUAAUAUGAAAUUUAAUGUAGUACUGUAUAUACCCAGCUAAGUAAUUUUUUAUGUGUACUAAGUUAGCAAUCUUCAUUAAGUGAUUACUAAUUUGGGAGUAAUUGUGAGGCAUCCAGAUAAGGAAGAUGCUAGUUCAAGUUCAGUUUAUCUAAUGACUCUAUGCAUGAGCUCCAUUCACAAAAAUAAUGUUUUAGAAACUUUAGGCUGUAUGUAUUAGCCUCUGAAUCAAAGUCCUUUCUAUUGGUGUUUAUUAUCAGUAUUCAGUUUACAUACUUUAAUUUUAGAUUUAAGGUCAUUGGGAAUUAGGAGAAGAAAUUUUUAAUCAAAUUUACACCUUAACUUCUUAAACAGAAUUCCACCAAAUGCAAAACUCAUCUUUGAAGUGGAAUUAGUGGAUAUUGAUUGAAAUAGCGUGCUUCAGAUCUAAAGACAUAAGUGACAAUAAAAUAUGGCCUUGAAGAAAUUUAGGUUACUAGUUAGAGCUGGUUACUGUUUUAAGGAGUCAACUAGAAUAUUCAAGAAGUUAGAACUUGUUUACUUGAUCCCCAACUUUUAAGAAUUGUAAUCCCUUAUAAAUCCCUUAAGUCUAAAAUAUUUUACUACAGGUGUGUGAAGUACUGGUUAAGGAGAAAUGAUUUUCCUGUUACCUCAUGUUGUACACUAAAAAGGCUCUAAUAAAAAUGCAUCUAAUGUGUUGAUUUGUUUGGUGUUAAUAUUAACAUUCUGAUUACAAAAACUAGGACUAUGACUUCAUCAAAGCAAGGAAUAACUCACAGUAAAAUUGUCUGGACCACUUUGCCAAGGAUGUUCAUUAUCUUUUAAAGUAAAUAUUCCUAUGUAGCGGAGGCAAAGGAUAGCAGCUGAGAUGAAGCAGAAAGCUUUGGUCUAUAAAAUUUGGCAGGAUAAUGUCUGAAUUCAAGAAAAAUACACUUCCAAGCCAGUGAACCCAAUCAAUGAAUUUAUGGUGAAUAUAAAGUUAUUAUUUGAUGACCCCCCAAAUAAAUUCAUAACAAUUAGUGGAUGAGUCUUCAGUUUUAUUACAAAAAUGAAGGUGAUCAGGUCUGAUCAACA